Molecule: long non-coding RNA, 368 nt
Organism: Rhinichthys klamathensis goyatoka
Lineage: Eukaryota; Metazoa; Chordata; Actinopteri; Cypriniformes; Leuciscidae
Exons: 2
Source: RefSeq, a predicted model, not a curated record
AAAUAGUGAGAAAAACAGUCAAAAUAUAAAACAAAAAAACUAAAAUUUUCACAGAUUAUGAUCAAGAUUUCUUUGGCUAUUUUACCCGUUCUGAUAAGGCACAUCUAUUCAUCUGUAAACAACAGACAACAGGCACUGCACGGAAUUAAAUUGUAAGACAUGAAAUUAAAAUAAUUCAUAGUGAUUGUAAAAUGUGAAAUAUGUAAAAAGUGUCUAGGCAUUUUGUAUCAAAGGGAAAAAAAACAGGAUAAUUUUUUAAUUUGGCUCUAUGAUGACAUUUAGUUGUUGAAGUUUGUUUAUCAUUAUCAUUAGUGUGUGAAGAGGUAGAAAAUGACCAAAUCUAAAUAUUUAUAUAAAUGUAUAAUAAA